RNAcentral lists this ribosomal RNA (492 nucleotides) under uncultured bacterium. Its description in RNAcentral is "partial 16S ribosomal RNA". It matches the Rfam family "Bacterial small subunit ribosomal RNA", at positions 29 to 507 of the family's 1533-position model. The record is from RNAcentral.
AGUGAACGCUGGCGGUAGGCCUAACACAUGCAAGUCGAACGGCAGCACAGUAAGAGCUUGCUCUUACGGGUGGCGAGUGGCGGACGGGUGAGGAAUACAUCGGAAUCUACUUUUUCGUGGGGGAUAACGUAGGGAAACUUACGCUAAUACCGCAUACGACCUACGGGUGAAAGCAGGGGAUCUUCGGACCUUGCGCGAUUGAAUGAGCCGAUGUCGGAUUAGCUAGUUGGCGGGGUAAAGUCCCACCAAGGCGACGAUCCGUAGCUGGUCUGAGAGGAUGAUCAGCCACACUGGAACUGAGACACGGUCCAGACUCCUACGGGAGGCAGCAGUGGGGAAUAUUGGACAAUGGGCGCAAGCCUGAUCCAGCCAUACCGCGUGGGUGAAGAAGGCCUUCGGGUUGUAAAGCCCUUUUGUUGGGAAAGAAAAGCAGCAGGUUAAUACCCCGCUGUUCUGACGGUACCCAAAGAAUAAGCACCAGCUAACUUCGUG